RNAcentral lists this small nuclear RNA (164 nucleotides) under Cercocebus atys (sooty mangabey). RNAcentral's name for it is "U1 spliceosomal RNA (ENSCATG00000017986.1)". It matches the Rfam family "U1 spliceosomal RNA". Rfam says of the family: U1 is a small nuclear RNA (snRNA) component of the spliceosome (involved in pre-mRNA splicing). Its 5' end forms complementary base pairs with the 5' splice junction, thus defining the 5' donor site of an intron. Lineage: Eukaryota; Metazoa; Chordata; Mammalia; Primates; Cercopithecidae. The record is from Rfam by way of RNAcentral.
AUACUUACCUGGCAGGGGAGAUACCAUGAUCACGAAGGUGGUUUUCCCAGGGCGAGGCUUCUCCAUUGCACUCCGGAUGUGCUGACCCCUGCGAUUUCCCCAAAUGUGGGAAACUCGACUGCAUAAUUUGUGGUAGUGGGGGACUGCGUUCGCGCUUUCCCCUG